This 1360-nucleotide long non-coding RNA is filed under the name Pan troglodytes (chimpanzee). RNAcentral's name for it is "lincRNA". Lineage: Eukaryota; Metazoa; Chordata; Mammalia; Primates; Hominidae. The record is from RNAcentral.
AGGCCAGGCACUACUCUGUCCCAACAAUAAGCCCUGUACAUUGGGAAAGGUGCCGAGACAUGAACUUUGGUCUUCUCUGCAAUCCAUCUGGAGCAUUCAGUGACAACAUCGACUUUGAAGUUGCACUGACCUGGCCAGCCCUGCCACUUACCAGGUUGGGCUGUGGCUUGCCUUUUCACUUCUUGUGUCCUGUUUAAGAAAUAUCUACUAUCCCAAGCAUCUGGCAUCUUUCUUGACACAUGUAGCAGUUGCUUUUUGACAGCUUGCUUCUUCAGUGAAUGAAUAAAUUAAUAAAGAGAAAUGUGAUGUUCAGUGAUCCAUUUUGCAGGCUCUUGAGUUUCUGCUUUCAAGUGACCCUCAGAAAUUCCCCCAUUCACUGCAGAGGUUCUGUUUCUCCUUGCUUUGUUCUGACUUUACGGCAGAACUAAGCUGAUGAGUUAGUUACUAUGGGUUAUCACUUGGAUUUGAAGAACCAUCAUUUCUAGGCAUUGCUGCUCAGAGUGGGUCUGCCCUCAGGGGAAGCUGUCUAACCAGAGCCUAACCCACUAGGGUUUUAUCAGAACCUAACUGACCUGAGGAAAAGAAAUAUUCAACUCCAGCAAGCUCCAGCCUUCCAAAUGGAGGAGAAGAAAACCCAACUCCAGCCCACUUCAGCUAUCUUGUCCCACAUAAAGGGGAAGUGGAAGAAACCUGAGAAGCAGGCAUGAAGUUCACAGUCCAGAGACCUUGCCAUCGUAUCCCUUUUUGGAGACACAAGCCAGGAAGGAAGCUCUUCAGUGCAGCUGUGAAUAGAGAAAUGCUGGCUGAGGUUUUGGAGACACUGGGUGAUCAUUCCCAGUGAAAUUUUUAGAUCCCUGGGGACAUGAGCUGCUUUGUCUUUUCCAAGGACAGCAGACAGAGCAUGAAUGAGACCCCCAAAGAAGGGAAGCAAAUGAGACAAGCCCCACAAUUAUUCUGGCUUUUGCCUAGAGACAAUCUAUGAACUGUGGGGCAAACAACAAAGAUCAAAACAGCUUGGCAAUCUGAGUUGAGGAUGAAGACACCAUUAGGGGCAGAAGUAGCGAUAGCUCAAAUUUGUGGAGCAAAGUACCAGAGAAGAUAAACUGCUCCAAAUUCCAUAAGGCUGGGCAAGGAAAAACUUUGUGGAAAGAAGAAUUAUCAGGGAACCCUAAGCUGAAAAAUUGCCAGGGCUCACACAGACCUGGGGAAUUGGUUGAGUUUAUGCCACCUACAGGAUAGAGAACUUGCUGAAUGUUCAAGGAUUUUGUUACAGAUGCAAGAUGACACUUAAAGGGAUGCAAAACUAACAUCUCUGGAUUAGUCUUAAUAAAGUUUAAAAAUAAGCUUAGAAAAAGUCAAA